GUUUAGGAAGCUCUCUGCAGUCAAAGGGGCUGCUGUGAAGUUACAGUUGCAAUAUAAAGAUGACAAGAAGUUCAAGACAAGAUAAAGGACCCCAGUGAGAUUGGACACUGAGAGAAGGUGAUGAAAAGAGAGGCUGUUUUUCCAGCUGAGUGGAGAGUACAGCAGAGAAACAAAGGUGAUUAAUUACAAUUGCAUCCAGGAAAGGCAAGAAAGUCGUUCCUGCAAGUCUGUGUAGAGCAGUGGCUCUGCUAUCAAAGCCA
This is a long non-coding RNA of Passer domesticus (house sparrow), 260 nucleotides long. RefSeq lists it as uncharacterized. The transcript is spliced from 4 exons. The record is from RefSeq and is a predicted model, not a curated record. Lineage: Eukaryota; Metazoa; Chordata; Aves; Passeriformes; Passeridae.